CCCUUCUCUGGAGUUUUGUAGUGAGCCCAGGAUGCAGAGAGAUCUUGACAAACUUGGGAGCUGAACAAUCACCAAUUGCAUGAAGUUUAAGAAGAGCAAGUGCUGGAUUCAGUAUUGGAACACGGCAAUCGCAGUUCUAUGUACAAACUGCAGGAUGAAAAGCUGAGCACAGUCUUCCAGAGAAGCAUCUGGAAGUCCUGCCUGAUGGCAAGUUGAAUCUGUGCGAGUAUUGUGCCCUGAUAGCCAGAAGGCCAAACAUAUCCUGGGGUACAUCAGGCCCAGCACUAUCAGCUGGGUAAGGGAAGAGUUUGUCCCACUCUGUUCUGCAUGGCCUCACCUCCAGCACUGUGUGCCAUAACAUAAGGAGGACAUAGUAAUAUUAGAGAAUCCAAAGGAGGGCUGCGAAGAUGGUGAAGAGUCUGGAGGGCAAGAUGUAUGAGGAAUGGCUGAGUCCCCUUGGUUUGUUUAGCCUUCAGAGAAGAGGAGGCUAAGGAGAGGCCUCAUGGCAGCCUACAGCUCCACACAAGGGGAGACAAGGGACAGGCACU
Molecule: non-coding RNA, 548 nt
Organism: Meleagris gallopavo (turkey)
Lineage: Eukaryota; Metazoa; Chordata; Aves; Galliformes; Phasianidae
Source: RefSeq, a predicted model, not a curated record